CUUCGGAUGCUGACGAGUGGCGCACGGGUGAGUAACGCGUAUGCAACCUACCUUUCACAGUGGGAUAGCCCAGAGAAAUUUGGAUUAAUACCGCAUAGUAUACAUUUCCAGCAUUGGGGAUGUAUUAAACAUUUAUGGGUGAGAGAUGGGCAUGCGUUCUAUUAGUUAGUUGGAGUGGUAACGGCACCCCAAGACAGCGAUAGAUAGGGGCCCUGAGAGGGGGAUCCCCCACACUGGUACUGAGACACGGACCAGACUCCUACGGGAGGCAGCAGUGAGGAAUAUUGGACAAUGGGCGCAAGCCUGAUCCAGCCAUGCCGCGUGCAGGAAGACGGCCCUAUGGGUUGUAAACUGCUUUUAUACAGGAAGAAACACCCCGACGUGUCGGGGCUUGACGGUACUGUAGGAAUAAGGAUCGGCUAACUCCGUGCCAGCAGCCGCGGUAAUACGGAGGAUCCAAGCGUUAUCCGGAAUCAUUGGGUUUAAAGGGUCCGUAGGUGGACGAUUAAGUCAGAGGUGAAAUCCUGCAGCUCAACUGUAGAAUUGCCUUUGAAACUGGUUGUCUUGAAUCAUUGUGAAGUGGUUAGAAUAUGUGGUGUAGCGGUGAAAUGCAUAGAUAUCACAUAGAAUACCGAUUGCGAAGGCAGAUCACUAACAAUGUAUUGACACUGAUGGACGAAAGCGUGGGGAGCGAACAGGAUUAGAUACCCUGGUAGUCCACGCCGUAAACGAUGGAUACUAGCUGUCCGGCCGCAAGGCUGGGUGGCUAAGCGAAAGUGAUAAGUAUCCCACCUGGGGAGUACGUUCGCAAGAAUGAAACUCAAAGGAAUUGACGGGGGCCCGCACAAGCGGUGGAGCAUGUGGUUUAAUUCGAUGAUACGCGAGGAACCUUACCAGGGCUUAAAUGUAGAUUGACAGGUUUAGAGAUAGACUUUCCUUCGGGCAAUUUACAAGGUGCUGCAUGGUUGUCGUCAGCUCGUGCCGUGAGGUGUCAGGUUAAGUCCUAUAACGAGCGCAACCCCUGUUGUUAGUUGCCAGCGAGUCAAGUCGGGAACUCUAGCAAGACUGCCAGUGCAAACUGGGAGGAAGGUGGGGAUGACGUCAAAUCAUCAC
RNAcentral lists this ribosomal RNA (1113 nucleotides) under Gelidibacter sp. RNAcentral's name for it is "bacterial SSU rRNA". It matches the Rfam family "Bacterial small subunit ribosomal RNA", at positions 78 to 1196 of the family's 1533-position model. The record is from RNAcentral. Lineage: Bacteria; Pseudomonadati; Bacteroidota; Flavobacteriia; Flavobacteriales; Flavobacteriaceae.